This 492-nucleotide ribosomal RNA is filed under the name uncultured bacterium. RNAcentral's name for it is "bacterial SSU rRNA". It matches the Rfam family "Bacterial small subunit ribosomal RNA", at positions 21 to 507 of the family's 1533-position model. The record is from RNAcentral.
GGCUCAGGAUGAACGCUGGCGGCGUGCUUAACACAUGCAAGUCGAACGGGAAUGUUUCGCUGAUGCGAUUUCGGUCAAAUCUUGAAGCAUUUUAGUGGCGGACGGGUGAGUAACGCGUGAGCAACCUGCCUUUCAGAGGGGGAUAACGUUUGGAAACGAACGCUAAUACCGCAUAACGUAUACGGAUGGCAUCGCCUGUAUACCAAAGGAGGAAUCCGCUGAAAGAUGGGCUCGCGUCUGAUUAGAUAGUUGGUGAGGUAACGGCUCACCAAGUCUGCGAUCAGUAGCCGGACUGAGAGGUCGAACGGCCACAUUGGAACUGAGAUACGGUCCAGACUCCUACGGGAGGCAGCAGUGGGGAAUAUUGGGCAAUGGGCGAAAGCCUGACCCAGCGACGCCGCGUGAAGGAUGAAGGUCUUCGGAUUGUAAACUUCUGUCUACAGGGACGAACAAAUGACGGUACCUGUAAAGAAAGCCACGGCUAACUACGUG